RNAcentral lists this ribosomal RNA (449 nucleotides) under uncultured bacterium. RNAcentral's name for it is "partial 16S ribosomal RNA". It matches the Rfam family "Bacterial small subunit ribosomal RNA", at positions 29 to 523 of the family's 1533-position model. The record is from RNAcentral.
AGCGAACGCUGGCGGCAGGCCUAACACAUGCAAGUCGAACGAACUCUUCGGAGUUAGUGGCGGACGGGUGAGUAACACGUGGGAACGUGCCUUUAGGUUCGGAAUAACUCAGGGAAACUUGUGCUAAUACCGAAUGUGCCCUUCGGGGGAAAGAUUUAUCGCCUUUAGAGCGGCCCGCGUCUGAUUAGCUUGUUGGUGGGGUAAUGGCCCACCAAGGCGACGAUCAGUAGCUGGUCUGAGAGGAUGACCAGCCACAUUGGGACUGAGACACGGCCCAAACUCCUACGGGAGGCAGCAGUGGGGAAUCUUGCGCAAUGGGCGAAAGCCUGACGCAGCCAUGCCGCGUGGAUGAUGAAGGUCUUAGGAUUGUAAAAUCCUUUCACCGGUGAAGAUAAUGACUGUAGCCGGAGAAGAAGCCCCGGCUAACUUCGUGCCAGCCGCCGCAGUAA